UACGUAGGGGGCGAGCGUUGUCCGGAUUUAUUGGGCGUAAAGAGCUCGUAGGCGGCUUGUUGCGUCGACCGUGAAAACCCGUGGCUCAACUGCGGGCUUGCGGUCGAUACGGGCGGGCUAGAGUUCGGUAGGGGAGACUGGAAUUCCUGGUGUAGCGGUGAAAUGCGCAGAUAUCAGGAGGAACACCGGUGGCGAAGGCGGGUCUCUGGGCCGAUACUGACGCUGAGGAGCGAAAGCGUGGGGAGCGAACAGG
Molecule: ribosomal RNA, 253 nt
Filed under: uncultured bacterium
Lineage: Bacteria
Description: partial 16S ribosomal RNA
Rfam family: Bacterial small subunit ribosomal RNA
Source: RNAcentral